UACGUAGGGCGCAAGCGUUGUCCGGAAUUAUUGGGCGUAAAGAGUUCGUAGGCGGCUUGUCACGUCGAUUGUGAAAGCCUGAGGCUUAACCUCGGGUCUGCAGUCGAUACGGGCUAGCUAGAGUGUGGUAGGGGAGAUCGGAAUUCCUGGUGUAGCGGUGAAAUGCGCAGAUAUCAGGAGGAACACCGGUGGCGAAGGCGGUUCUCUGGGCCUUACCUGACGCUGAGGAGCGAAAGCGUGGGGAGCGAAUAGG
This 253-nucleotide ribosomal RNA is filed under the name uncultured bacterium. Its description in RNAcentral is "partial 16S ribosomal RNA". It matches the Rfam family "Bacterial small subunit ribosomal RNA", at positions 524 to 776 of the family's 1533-position model. The record is from RNAcentral.